CUGUGACAUACUCGAUCUUUCAAUAUGUCAUUAACCCGCUAAACGGAGGUCGGUUGAGGACCACCUCCUAGAACUUUCUUUUAUGGCACUGGAUGCCAAUGCAUCAUGGAUAUCUAGCCAGGUCUGUCAUGGGACUCUCAUGCUUAGGACAGGGGUCAGUCAGAUAUUGUCUCAUCAGUUCUCUGCAUCUUGUGUAGAUAACUGGGCGUGCUUCAGAUCAUGGCAUGCAGCUAGAUUCAGCCCUAUGCAAUUGCAAGUAUGCAACCAUACAUCUCUUUCACUUGGGGUGAGGGGACCCUCCACGACACACAGGAUGGGAGGAAGAAGGUGACGCCUGACUAUCUAGCUACAAGACACUCUGGAGUCUGUUGGACUGAUGGCCUUGGCAUCCUAUGAAUGUCUCCUGGCUCCCUCUGUCCAAAAGGCCUAGCAGUGGUCAAAAAGCCUUAAAAGGAACAGUUGCUUGCACAUCAAGGAACUUUGCAUGCAGGAGCAAUAAUGUGGCGUCCUCAAUCUGUGAUUACUGGACCUUGUUGGUUUAUUUUCAUCUUUGUUUCAUUAUUGCUGUAUCUUUCUGGAUUUCUGAGGGAAUGGAAGCCUAACAUGUAGGGCCCAGAAAGCAACUGCAGCAUACUCUUGUGUCAUAUGGAUAUACGUUUCACCGUUUUCUGAAAUAGAAAAAGCAAUGACAGAGGGUUGCAGCUGUUUGUGCCAUUUGGAGCCCUGCUGGCAUUUUGGCAGUAGAUGGAUGGAUUCAACAUAUGCAUCAAGUGUACAAAUUUCCUAUAUAUGUUAUGUUAGUUGAA
This is a long non-coding RNA of Brachypodium distachyon (stiff brome), 806 nucleotides long. RefSeq lists it as uncharacterized. Lineage: Eukaryota; Viridiplantae; Streptophyta; Magnoliopsida; Poales; Poaceae. The record is from RefSeq and is a predicted model, not a curated record. The transcript is spliced from 3 exons.